Molecule: ribosomal RNA, 527 nt
Filed under: Nesolestes sp. RMNH INS 228879
Lineage: Eukaryota; Metazoa; Arthropoda; Insecta; Odonata; Argiolestidae
Description: partial 16S ribosomal RNA
Rfam family: Bacterial large subunit ribosomal RNA
Source: RNAcentral
GUCCUCUCGUUUUUGUGGGAGGUCGGGCCUGCCCGGUGAAAAUGUUUUAACGGCCGCGGUAUUUUGACCGUGCAAAGGUAGCAUAAUCAUUAGUCUUUUAAUAGGGGACUGGAAUGAAGGGUUUGACGAAAUAAUAACUGUCUCAUUAAUAAUAUUUGAAUUUAACUUUUAAGUUAAAAGGCUUAAAUUUAGUUGGAAGACGAGAAGACCCUAUAGAGCUUUAUUUAUGAUUAUAUAAUUUUUUACUGUCUAUUUUCUUGUUUUAUAAUCAUGUAUUUUGUUGGGGAGACAAAGAAAUAUAUAAAACUUUCAUUAUUUUAUUACAUUUAUUUAUGGGUUUGUGAUCCGUUAUUAUCGAUUAUUAGAAUAAGUUACCUUAGGGAUAACAGCGUAAUCUUCUUUGGGAGUUCAAAUUUACAAGAAGGCUUGCGACCUCGAUGUUGGAUUAAGAUAAUAGUUGGGUGCAGUAGCUUAAUUAAUAGGUCUGUUCGACCUUUAAAUUCUUACAUGAUCUGAGUUCAGACCGG